This 618-nucleotide ribosomal RNA is filed under the name Mycobacterium sp. So2Ps_884. RNAcentral describes it as "bacterial SSU rRNA". It matches the Rfam family "Bacterial small subunit ribosomal RNA", at positions 395 to 1022 of the family's 1533-position model. Lineage: Bacteria; Bacillati; Actinomycetota; Actinomycetes; Mycobacteriales; Mycobacteriaceae. The record is from RNAcentral.
CGCCGCGUGAGGGAUGACGGCCUCUGGGUUGUAAACCUCUUUCGCCAGGGACGAAGCGCAAGUGACGGUACCUGGAGAAGAAGGACCGGCCAACUACGUGCCAGCAGCCGCGGUAAUACGUAGGGUCCGAGCGUUGUCCGGAAUUACUGGGCGUAAAGAGCUCGUAGGUGGUUUGUCGCGUUGUUCGUGAAAACUCACAGCUUAACUGUGGGCGUGCGGGCGAUACGGGCAGACUGGAGUACUGCAGGGGAGACUGGAAUUCCUGGUGUAGCGGUGGAAUGCGCAGAUAUCAGGAGGAACACCGGUGGCGAAGGCGGGUCUCUGGGCAGUAACUGACGCUGAGGAGCGAAAGCGUGGGGAGCGAACAGGAUUAGAUACCCUGGUAGUCCACGCCGUAAACGGUGGGUACUAGGUGUGGGUUUCCUUCCUUGGGAUCCGUGCCGUAGCUAACGCAUUAAGUACCCCGCCUGGGGAGUACGGCCGCAAGGCUAAAACUCAAAGAAAUUGACGGGGGCCCGCACAAGCGGCGGAGCAUGUGGAUUAAUUCGAUGCAACGCGAAGAACCUUACCUGGGUUUGACAUGCACAGGACGUGCCUAGAGAUAGGUAUUCCCUUGUG